UAUUUAUCAACUGCUCUGAUUAUUAUCAAAGUGAAGUUGGAUUAUGAAGGCAUAAUGCAGAUAAUCUGCUCUUUUAAAAUACAUCUUGGAGAUGCUUUUUAAUAUAUACAUCAAUGUAAUAAAAUUUACACGUUGUUGAUAUAUUACAAAAAAUCCAAGUUAACUUAAUUUAUCAUA
RNAcentral lists this unclassified non-coding RNA (177 nucleotides) under uncultured Basidiomycota. RNAcentral describes it as "sequence contains ITS2". Lineage: Eukaryota; Fungi; Basidiomycota. The record is from RNAcentral.